GAUGAACGCUGGCGGCGUGCCUAAUACAUGCAAGUCGAGCGAACGGACGAGAAGCUUGCUUUUCUGAUGUUAGCGGCGGACGGGUGAGUAACACGUGGAUAACCUACCUAUAAGACUGGGAUAACUUCGGGAAACCGGAGCUAAUACCGGAUAAUAUUUUGAACCGCAUGGUUCAAAAGUGAAAGACGGUCUUGCUGUCACUUAUAGAUGGAUCCGCGCUGCAUUAGCUAGUUGGUAAGGUAACGGCUUACCAAGGCAACGAUGCAUAGCCGACCUGAGAGGGUGAUCGGCCACACUGGAACUGAGACACGGUCCAGACUCCUACGGGAGGCAGCAGUAGGGAAUCUUCCGCGAUGGGCGAAAGCCUGACGGAGCAACGCCGCGUGAGUGAUGAAGGUCUUCGGAUCGUAAAACUCUGUUAUUAGGGAAGAACAUAUGUGUAAUUAACUGUGCACAUCUUGACGGUACCUAAUCAGAAAGCCACGGCUAACUACGUG
RNAcentral lists this ribosomal RNA (497 nucleotides) under uncultured bacterium. Its description in RNAcentral is "partial 16S ribosomal RNA". It matches the Rfam family "Bacterial small subunit ribosomal RNA", at positions 28 to 507 of the family's 1533-position model. The record is from RNAcentral.